RNAcentral lists this ribosomal RNA (479 nucleotides) under uncultured bacterium. RNAcentral's name for it is "bacterial SSU rRNA". It matches the Rfam family "Bacterial small subunit ribosomal RNA", at positions 37 to 507 of the family's 1533-position model. The record is from RNAcentral.
UGGCGGCAGGCCUAACACAUGCAAGUCGAGCGGUAACAUUUCUAGCUUGCUAGUAGAUGACGAGCGGCGGACGGGUGAGUAACGCGUAGAAAUCUACCUAGUAGUGGGGGAUAGCCCAGAGAAAUUUGGAUUAAUACCGCAUACGCCCUACGGGGGAAAGCGGGGGAUCUUCGGACCUCGUGCUAUUAGAUGAGUCUGCGUCGGAUUAGCUUGUUGGUGAGGUAAUGGCUCACCAAGGCGACGAUCCGUAGCUGGUCUGAGAGGAUGACCAGCCACACUGGAACUGAGACACGGUCCAGACUCCUACGGGAGGCAGCAGUGGGGAAUAUUGCACAAUGGGCGCAAGCCUGAUGCAGCCAUGCCGCGUGUGUGAAGAAGGCCUUAGGGUUGUAAAGCACUUUCAGCAGUGAGGAAAGGGGUGUCGUUAAUAGCGCCAUCCUGUGACGUUAACUGCAGAAGAAGGACCGGCUAACUCCGUG